This 253-nucleotide ribosomal RNA is filed under the name uncultured bacterium. RNAcentral's name for it is "partial 16S ribosomal RNA". It matches the Rfam family "Bacterial small subunit ribosomal RNA", at positions 524 to 776 of the family's 1533-position model. The record is from RNAcentral.
UACGGGGGGGGCAAGCGUUGUUCGGAAUUACUGGGCGUAAAGGGCUCGUAGGCGGCCAACUAAGUCCGACGUGAAAUCCCAAGGCUUAACCUUGGAACUGCGUCGGAUACUGGAUGGCUUGAAUUCGGGAGAGGGAUGCAGAAUUCCAGGUGUAGCGGUGAAAUGCGUAGAUAUCUGGAGGAAUACCGGUGGCGAAGGCGGCCCACUGGUCCGGUACUGACGCUGAGGUGCGAAAGCGUGGGGAGCAAACAGG